CGUACACUCCUGCGGGAGGCAGCAGUGGGGAAUAUUGCACAAUGGGCGCAAGCCUGAUGCAGCCAUGCCGCGUGUAUGAAGAAGGCCUUCGGGUUGUAAAGUACUUUCAGCGGGGAGGAAGGCAAUACGGUUAAUAACCGUGUUGAUUGACGUUACCCGCAGAAGAAGCACCGGCUAACUCCGUGCCAGCAGCCGCGGUAAUACGGAGGGUGCAAGCGUUAAUCGGAAUUACUGGGCGUAAAGCGCACGCAGGCGGUCUGUCAAGUCGGAUGUGAAAUCCCCGGGCUCAACCUGGGAACUGCAUUCGAAACUGGCAGGCUUGAGUCUUGUAGAGGGGGGUAGAAUUCCAGGUGUAGCGGUGAAAUGCGUAGAGAUCUGGAGGAAUACCGGUGGCGAAGGCGGCCCCCUGGACAAAGACUGACGCUCAGGUGCGAAAGCGUGGGGAGCAAACAGGAUUAGAAACCCAGUAGUCCCAUG
Molecule: ribosomal RNA, 477 nt
Filed under: uncultured organism
Description: partial 16S ribosomal RNA
Rfam family: Bacterial small subunit ribosomal RNA
Source: RNAcentral